RNA transcript from Oncorhynchus kisutch (coho salmon), 829 nucleotides. RefSeq lists it as uncharacterized. The record is from RefSeq and is a predicted model, not a curated record. Lineage: Eukaryota; Metazoa; Chordata; Actinopteri; Salmoniformes; Salmonidae. The transcript is spliced from 4 exons.
UGAACAAAGCAAGGUGGGACUUGCCGUUCAUGCUGUUAAUGUAACCCACAGUGAGAUACAAAACCUGACACUUCCCCUGCCUUCCAGACAGACUCAUCGCCACGGUUACCAGACCACUCAGUAGACCUCCGACCCGUCUCCGUAGUUUAGUGCCUAGCAGAGUAGCUAUCUGUCUCUGUUGGUCUGUCGAACAGUCGGUACAUCAAUCUGUCCAUCCGUCCAGCCAGUUAGUAAGCCAGUCAAUUAGUCAGCCAGCCAGUCAGCCAGUCAGCCAGCCAGCCAGCCAGUCAGUCAGCCAGUCAGCCAGCAUGUCCGUGUUCCAAUCCAGGACCCUCUCUCUGGCCCUCCUGAUCACCAUCUGUGUGUACCUCACCUCUGUGUCUGCUAACUAUCGUCGGCCAACUAAGGUAACCACAAGUUGCUGCACAAGAGUUUCUGACUCUCACAUCAAAUUUAGACUGCAAGCAUACCACAUCCAAAACGCCAUGCCACCCUGUGUUGAUGCCAUCGUCUUCCACACAGUGAAAGGAGGGAAGAUCUGCUCUGAUCCCAAAGCAUCCUGGGUCAACAAAAGAAAGCAAUAUUUGAAUGUGAUGAAAAAGCAAAGAAGACAUGUUUGACCAUGACUGGAACCCUCUCCACUGUAAACACGCCUCCUCACCAUCUCCUGCAUCCUCCUCCCCUCCUCACCAUCUCCUGCAUCCUCCUCCCAAGAUCCUCUAUCAGCAUACUUCACUUUUCUGCUUAUUUUUUGUCCGUCUGGCCCUUAAGAUUAUUUUGUUGUGUUUUAAAUUGAUAGAAUUUCAUUAAAAUACAGUAUGUUACAGUC